This 253-nucleotide ribosomal RNA is filed under the name uncultured bacterium. Its description in RNAcentral is "partial 16S ribosomal RNA". It matches the Rfam family "Bacterial small subunit ribosomal RNA", at positions 524 to 776 of the family's 1533-position model. The record is from RNAcentral.
UACGAAGGGGGCUAGCGUUGUCCGGAAUCAUUGGGCGUAAAGCGCGCGUAGGUGGCCUCGUAAGUCCGCUGUGAAAGUCAAAGGCUCAACCUUUGAAAGCCGGUGGAUACUGUGAGGCUAGAGUACGGAAGAGGCGAGUGGAAUUCCUGGUGUAGCGGUGGAAUGCGCAGAUAUCAGGAGGAACACCAAUAGCGAAGGCAGCUCGCUGGGACGUUACUGACACUGAGGCGCGAAAGCGUGGGGAGCGAACAGG